This 497-nucleotide ribosomal RNA is filed under the name uncultured bacterium. Its description in RNAcentral is "partial 16S ribosomal RNA". It matches the Rfam family "Bacterial small subunit ribosomal RNA", at positions 28 to 507 of the family's 1533-position model. The record is from RNAcentral.
GACGAACGCUGGCGGCGUGCCUAAUACAUGCAAGUAGAACGCUGAAGCGAGGAGCUUACUCUUCUUGGAUGAGUUGCGCACGGGUGAGUAACGCGAAGGUAAUCUGCCUUGUAGUGGGGGAUCACUAUUGGAAACGAUAGCUAAUACCGCAUAACAAUGGAUGACACAUGUCAUUUAUUUGAAAGGGGCAAUUGCUCCACUACAAGAUGGACCUGCGUUGUAUUAGCUAGUAGGUGAGGUAAUGGCUCACCUAGGCGACGAUACAUAGCCGACCUGAGAGGGGGAGCGGCCACACUGGUACUGAGACACGGCCCAGACUCCUACGGGAGGCAGCAGUAGGGAAUCUGCGGCAAUGGGGGCAACCCUGACCGAGCAACGCCGCGUGAGUGAAGAAGGUUGUCGGAUCGUAAAGCUCUGUUGUAAGUCAAGAACGGGGGUGAGAGUGGAAAGUUCACACUGUGACGGUAGCUUACCAGAAAGGGACGGCUAACUACGUG